CGCCCGUCAAACCAUGGGAGCUGGUAAUGCCCGAAGUCGGUUUAUUAACAAACUGCCUAAGGCAGGACUGGUGACUGGGGUUAAGUCGUAACAAGGUAUCCCUACGAGAACGUGGGGAUGGAUCACCUCCUUUCUACGGAGUACACUUAGUUAAUUGUUCUUAAUCGUUAAUUCUAACGGCAAUUAACACUUUUAACCAAACUUACAUUUGGCCUUCAUUAUUUCAUAAAUUUAUCAACGUUUAACAGUCAUGGCUUACAGGUCAUAAGCAAAAUAUAUCUAGUUUUGAGAGAACAUUUCUCUCACAAUGAAAUUGUUCUUUGAAAACUGAAUAGUAAGAUAUUUUAAUUAAUAUUUACAACGACAUCUAACAAAUUAAUGUCAAUUUGUUUUGAUUCAUCGAGUAAAAAACCAACACAAAAAUGGUUUAUUGAAAUGUCUUAAAAUACACAUCAACAACCAAAUAGGAACAUACUUUUAAAUAAGGAAGAGUUUGUGGUGGAUGCCUUGGGUCUGGAAGUCGAUGAAGGACGUGAUUACCUGCGAUAAGUCUCGUGGAACUGGAAAUAAGUUAUGAAGCGGGAAUUUCCGAAUGGGGAAACCUAACUAGGGUAAUGCCUAGUUGCCGUUGUCUGAAUACAUAGGACAAUGAGUGAGACACCUUGCCAACUGAAACAUCUUAGUAGCAAGAGGAAAAGAAAAUAAAUAAUGAUUUCUUUAGUAGCGGCGAGCGAACGAGAAAGAGCCCAAACCAUUUAAUAUGGGGUUGUAGGACGAUCUAUAUAGAGUUACAAAACUUAAUGAUAGCAGAAGCUUUUGGGAAGAAGCGACACAGAGGGUGAUAUCCCCGUAUGCGAAAUUGUUAAGUCUCUUGGUCGGAUCCUGAGUAGGGCGGGGCACGUGGAACCCUGUCUGAACCCGCCGGGACCACCCGGUAAGGCUAAAUACUAACCAGACACCGAUAGUGAACUA
This 972-nucleotide small RNA is filed under the name Mycoplasmopsis columbinasalis. RNAcentral's name for it is "bacterial LSU rRNA". The stretch from base 476 to 972 matches the Rfam family "Bacterial large subunit ribosomal RNA", at positions 1 to 497 of the family's 2925-position model. The record is from RNAcentral. Lineage: Bacteria; Bacillati; Mycoplasmatota; Mycoplasmoidales; Metamycoplasmataceae.